UGCGGCUUGCCUAUACAUGCAAGUCGAACGAACUCUGGUAUUGAUUGGUGCUUGCAUCAUGAUUUACAUUUGAGUGAGUGGCGAACUGGUGAGUAACACGUGGGAAACCUGCCCAGAAGCGGGGGAUAACACCUGGAAACAGAUGCUAAUACCGCAUAACAACUUGGACCGCAUGGUCCGAGCUUGAAAGAUGGCUUCGGCUAUCACUUUUGGAUGGUCCCGCGGCGUAUUAGCUAGAUGGUGGGGUAACGGCUCACCAUGGCAAUGAUACGUAGCCGACCUGAGAGGGUAAUCGGCCACAUUGGGACUGAGACACGGCCCAAACUCCUACGGGAGGCAGCAGUAGGGAAUCUUCCACAAUGGACGAAAGUCUGAUGGAGCAACGCCGCGUGAGUGAAGAAGGGUUUCGGCUCGUAAAACUCUGUUGUUAAAGAAGAACAUAUCUGAGAGUAACUGUUCAGGUAUUGACGGUAUUUAACCAGAAAGCCACGGCUAACUACGUGCCAGCAGCCGCGGUAAUACGUAGGUGGCAAGCGUUGUCCGGAUUUAUUGGGCGUAAAGCGAGCGCAGGCGGUUUUUUAAGUCUGAUGUGAAAGCCUUCGGCUCAACCGAAGAAGUGCAUCGGAAACUGGAAAACUUGAGUGCAGAAGAGGACAGUGGAACUCCAUGUGUAGCGGUGAAAUGCGUAGAUAUAUGGAAGAACACCAGUGGCGAAGGCGGCUGUCUGGUCUGUAACUGACGCUGAGGCUCGAAAGUAUGGGUAGCAAACAGGAUUAGAUACCCUGGUAGUCCAUACCGUAAACGAUGAAUGCUAAGUGUUGGAGGGUUUCCGCCCUUCAGUGCUGCAGCUAACGCAUUAAGCAUUCCGCCUGGGGAGUACGGCCGCAAGGCUGAAACUCAAAGGAAUUGACGGGGGCCCGCACAAGCGGUGGAGCAUGUGGUUUAAUUCGAAGCUACGCGAAGAACCUUACCAGGUCUUGACAUACUAUGCAAAUCUAAGAGAUUAGACGUUCCCUUCGGGGACAUGGAUACAGGUGGUGCAUGGUUGUCGUCAGCUCGUGUCGUGAGAUGUUGGGUUAAGUCCCGCAACGAGCGCAACCCUUAUUAUCAGUUGCCAGCAUUAAGUUGGGCACUCUGGUGAGACUGCCGGUGACAAACCGGAGGAAGGUGGGGAUGACGUCAAAUCAUCAUGCCCCUUAUGACCUGGGCUACACACGUGCUACAAUGGAUGGUACAACGAGUUGCGAACUCGCGAGAGUAAGCUAAUCUCUUAAAGCCAUUCUCAGUUCGGAUUGUAGGCUGCAACUCGCCUACAUGAAGUCGGAAUCGCUAGUAAUCGCGGAUUCAGCAGCCGUC
This 1356-nucleotide ribosomal RNA is filed under the name Lactiplantibacillus plantarum. Its description in RNAcentral is "bacterial SSU rRNA". It matches the Rfam family "Bacterial small subunit ribosomal RNA", at positions 38 to 1358 of the family's 1533-position model. The record is from RNAcentral. Lineage: Bacteria; Bacillati; Bacillota; Bacilli; Lactobacillales; Lactobacillaceae.